AUGUUGUUUAGUUUGAUUCACUUUAUUUUGAAAGUUACUAAAAAUUUCAGAAAUUUUCAGAAAAAGAUGAAGAGGUUGUUCUUGAGGGGCUCUUCUAGCCAAAGCUCCAAGGAUAAACAAGCUAAGGAGAAAGAAAAUGCCAAGUAUAAUCUUCCUCGUGUAGCGGAAGUACGGCCGUGCGAAUGGCCUUGUGAUAAUUUCUUGAGAGCAGACAGGAUUUAUGAAGACUUUUAUUCUUUGGCUGAAAAUGUGGGCCUCACCGACUUCCUCCACGACCAUAUCGAACAGUAUCUCUUACUCACCAAUACUUUCGUGCAAAACUUUUACUAUUAUCCUAAGAAUUCACCACCUUCAGUAGCUUUUCAUUCAUAUGAUGAGGCUAAGGAAAUGUCAUUACGUAAUUUUUGCACGGUUUGUAGAAUACCCUUUGAUGGUAGCCUAGAUGAACCACAUCGUAAAGAUGUGGAUGGUUUUAUUGAUGUAGGGGAACCUAGGAAGGUUUCCGAUGCAAGAAUAACUAGCAUACAUUUUCCUGUUUUACGCUACUUUGUCAUAUUUGCUAGUCGAUGCUUAAUUGGUCACGGAAACUAUGGAAACCUCAGUGUUCCUGAUAUUAUUAUUCUAUUCCAUGCCUUAUUUUGUAUAACAUUUUUAGUAUGGGUGCCGUUAUUGCUAAACGACUAA
This 684-nucleotide ribosomal RNA is filed under the name Triticum aestivum (bread wheat). RNAcentral describes it as "partial small subunit ribosomal RNA". Lineage: Eukaryota; Viridiplantae; Streptophyta; Magnoliopsida; Poales; Poaceae. The record is from RNAcentral.